AUUGAACGCUGGCGGCAUGCUUUACACAUGCAAGUCGAACGGUAACAGGCCGCAAGGUGCUGACGAGUGGCGAACGGGUGAGUAAUGCAUCGGAACGUGCCCAGUCGCGGGGGAUAACUACUCGAAAGAGUAGCUAAUACCGCAUACGAGCUAUGGAUGAAAGCGGGGGACCGUAAGGCCUCGCGCGAUUGGAGCGGCCGAUGUCAGAUUAGGUAGUUGGUGGGGUAAAGGCUCACCAAGCCAACGAUCUGUAGCUGGUCUGAGAGGACGACCAGCCACACUGGAACUGAGACACGGCCCAGACUCCUACGGGAGGCAGCAGUGGGGAAUUUUGGACAAUGGGCGCAAGCCUGAUCCAGCAAUGCCGCGUGCAGGAAGAAGGCCUUCGGGUUGUAAACUGCUUUUGUACGGAACGAAACGACUCUGGUUAAUACCCGGAGCUAAUGACGGUACCGUAAGAAUAAGCACCGGCUAACUACGUG
This 482-nucleotide ribosomal RNA is filed under the name uncultured bacterium. Its description in RNAcentral is "partial 16S ribosomal RNA". It matches the Rfam family "Bacterial small subunit ribosomal RNA", at positions 30 to 507 of the family's 1533-position model. The record is from RNAcentral.